UGGGGAAUAUUGCACAAUGGGCGCAAGCCUGAUGCAGCCAUGCCGCGUGUGUGAAGAAGGCCUUCGGGUUGUAAAGCACUUUCAGCGAGGAGGAAGGUGGUGAGCUUAAUACGCUCAUCAAUUGACGUUACUCGCAGAAGAAGCACCGGCUAACUCCGUGCCAGCAGCCGCGGUAAUACGGAGGGUGCAAGCGUUAAUCGGAAUUACUGGGCGUAAAGCGCACGCAGGCGGUUUGUUAAGUCAGAUGUGAAAUCCCCGGGCUCAACCUGGGAACUGCAUUUGAAACUGGCAAGCUAGAGUCUCGUAGAGGGGGGUAGAAUUCCAGGUGUAGCGGUGAAAUGCGUAGAGAUCUGGAGGAAUACCGGUGGCGAAGGCGGCCCCCUGGACGAAGACUGACGCUCAGGUGCGAAAGCGUGGGGCAGCAAACAGGAUUAGAUACCCUGGUAGUCCACGCUGUAAAACGAUGUCGAUUUUGGAGGUUGUGCCCUUGAGGCGUGGCUUCCGGAGCUAACGCGUUAAAUCGACCGCC
RNAcentral lists this ribosomal RNA (529 nucleotides) under uncultured bacterium. Its description in RNAcentral is "partial 16S ribosomal RNA". It matches the Rfam family "Bacterial small subunit ribosomal RNA", at positions 355 to 873 of the family's 1533-position model. The record is from RNAcentral.